Molecule: ribosomal RNA, 253 nt
Filed under: uncultured bacterium
Lineage: Bacteria
Description: partial 16S ribosomal RNA
Rfam family: Bacterial small subunit ribosomal RNA
Source: RNAcentral
UACAGAGGGUGCAAGCGUUAAUCGGAAUUACUGGGCGUAAAGCGUGCGUAGACGGUUAUGUAAGUCGGGUGUGAAAGCCCCGGGCUCAACCUGGGAAUUGCAUUCGAGACUGCAUAGCUAGGGUGCGGAAGAGGGAAGCGGAAUUUCCGGUGUAGCGGUGAAAUGCGUAGAUAUCGGAAGGAACACCGGUGGCGAAGGCGGCGACCUGGGUAGAUACUGACGCUGAGGUGCGAAAGCGUGGGGAGCAAACAGG